RNAcentral lists this ribosomal RNA (429 nucleotides) under bacterium. RNAcentral describes it as "partial 16S ribosomal RNA". It matches the Rfam family "Bacterial small subunit ribosomal RNA", at positions 355 to 776 of the family's 1533-position model. The record is from RNAcentral.
UAGGGAAUCUUCCACAAUGGACGCAAGUCUGAUGGAGCAACGCCGCGUGAGUGAAGAAGGUUUUCGGAUCGUAAAGCUCUGUUGUUGGUGAAGAAGGAUAGAGGCAGUAACUGGUCUUUAUUUGACGGUAAUCAACCAGAAAGUCACGGCUAACUACGUGCCAGCAUCCGCGGUAAUACGUAGGUGGCAAGCGUUGUCCGGAUUUAUUGGGCGUAAAGCGAGCGCAGGCGGAAUGAUAAGUCUGAUGUGAAAGCCCACGGCUCAACCGGGGAACUGCAUCGGAAACUGUCAUUUUAGAGUGAAGAAGAGGCGAGUGGAAUUCCAUGUGUAGCGGUGGAAUGCGUAGAUAUAUGGAAGAACACCAGUGGCGAAGGCAGCUCUCUGGUCUGCAACUGACGCUGAGGCUCGAAAGCAUGGGUAGCGAACAGG